CCUACGGGAGGCAGCAGUGAGGAAUAUUGGUCAAUGGGCGCGAGCCUGAACCAGCCAAGUCGCGUGAGGGAAGACGGUCCUAUGGAUUGUAAACCUCUUUUGUCGGGGAGCAAAAGACGCCACGCGUGGCGUUCCGAGAGUACCCGAAGAAAAGCAUCGGCUAACUCGGUGCCAGCAUCCGCGGUAAUACGGAGGAUGGGAGCGUAAUCCGGAUUUAUGGGGGUUAAAGGGUGCGCAGGCGGAAGAUGAAGUCAGCGGUAAAAUUGAGAGGCUCAACCUCUUCGAGCCGUUGAACCUGGUUUUCUUGAGUGAGCGAGAGGGAUGUGGAAUGCGUGGUGUAGCGGUGAAAUGCAUAGAGAUCACGCAGAACUCCGAUUGCGAAGGCAGCAUACCGGCGAUAAACUGACGCUCAUGCACGAAAGUGUGGGUAUCGAACAGGAUUAGAUACCCUAGUAGUC
This 458-nucleotide ribosomal RNA is filed under the name uncultured bacterium. Its description in RNAcentral is "partial 16S ribosomal RNA". It matches the Rfam family "Bacterial small subunit ribosomal RNA", at positions 338 to 795 of the family's 1533-position model. The record is from RNAcentral.